GACGAACGCUGGCGGCGUGCCUAAUACAUGCAAGUCGAACGAACCGCGACUGAGUGCUUGCACUUGGUCAAGGUGAGUGGCGAACGGGUGAGUAACACGUGGGUAACCUACCUCAUAGUGGGGGAUAACAGUCGGAAACGACUGCUAAUACCGCAUAGGACAUAGGAUCACAUGAUCCAGUGAGGAAAGGUGGCGCAAGCUAUCGCUAAGAGAUGGACCCGCGGUGCAUUAGCUAGUUGGUAGGGUAAAGGCCUACCAAGGCGAUGAUGCAUAGCCGACCUGAGAGGGUGAUCGGCCACAUUGGGACUGAGACACGGCCCAAACGCCUACGGGAGGCAGCAGUAGGGAAUCUUCCGCAAUGGACGCAAGUCUGACGGAGCAACGCCGCGUGAGUGAAGAAGGUCUUCGGAUCGUAAAGCUCUGUUGUUAGAGAAGAACAGCGCAUAGAGUAACUGCUAUGCGUGUGACGGUAUCUAAUCAGAAAGCCACGGCUAACUACGUG
RNAcentral lists this ribosomal RNA (502 nucleotides) under uncultured bacterium. RNAcentral's name for it is "partial 16S ribosomal RNA". It matches the Rfam family "Bacterial small subunit ribosomal RNA", at positions 28 to 507 of the family's 1533-position model. The record is from RNAcentral.